Molecule: ribosomal RNA, 506 nt
Filed under: uncultured bacterium
Lineage: Bacteria
Description: partial 16S ribosomal RNA
Rfam family: Bacterial small subunit ribosomal RNA
Source: RNAcentral
AGUGAACGCUGGCGGUAGGCCUAACACAUGCAAGUCGAACGGUAGCACAGGAGAGCUUGCUCUCUGGGUGGCGAGUGGCGGACGGGUGAGGAAUACAUCGGAAUCUACUUUUUCGUGGGGGAUAACGUAGGGAAACUUACGCUAAUACCGCAUACGACCUACGGGUGAAAGCAGGGGAUCUUCGGACCUUGCGCGAUUGAAUGAGCCGAUGUCGGAUUAGUUAGUUGGCGGGGUAAAGGCCCACCAAGGCGACGAUCCGUAGCUGGUCUGAGAGGAUGAACAGCCACACUGGAACUGAGACACGGUCCAGACUCCUACGGGAGGCAGCAGUGGGGAAUAUUGGACAAUGGGCGCAAGCCUGAUCCAGCCAUACCGCGUGGGUGAAGAAGGCCUUCGGGUUGUAAAGCCCUUUUGUUGGGAAAGAAAUCCAGCUGGUUAAUACCCGGUCGGGAUGACGGUACCCAAAGAAUAAGCACCGGCUAACUUCGUGCCAGCCGCCGCCGUAA